UGUGGCCUACGGGGCGCAGCAGUGAGGAAUAUUGGUCAAUGGGCGCGAGCCUGAACCAGCCACGUCGCGUGAGGGAAGACGGUCCUAUGGAUUGUAAACCUCUUUUGUCGGGGAGCAAAAGACGCCACGCGUGGCGUUCCGAGAGUACCCGAAGAAAAAGCAUCGGCUAACUCCGUGCCAGCAGCCGCGGUAAUACGGAGGAUGCGAGCGUUAUCCGGAUUUAUUGGGUUUAAAGGGUGCGUAGGCGGAUUUUUAAGUCAGCGGUAAAAUGUCCGGGCUCAACCCGGGCCGGCCGUUGAAACUGG
RNAcentral lists this ribosomal RNA (305 nucleotides) under uncultured bacterium. RNAcentral describes it as "bacterial SSU rRNA". It matches the Rfam family "Bacterial small subunit ribosomal RNA", at positions 333 to 636 of the family's 1533-position model. The record is from RNAcentral.